Long non-coding RNA from Cucurbita pepo subsp. pepo (vegetable marrow), 803 nucleotides. RefSeq lists it as uncharacterized. Lineage: Eukaryota; Viridiplantae; Streptophyta; Magnoliopsida; Cucurbitales; Cucurbitaceae. The record is from RefSeq and is a predicted model, not a curated record.
AGGAUUAUGUGGUGCAGAUUAAUAAAUCAUGGAUAGAUCAGAAAAAGCCUACCUGUCAGAAUCUGAUUUAUCAUUGCCUUGAAACAGACUGAGAUACCGAAGAAGAGCGAGACACACACGCAACACAACAGUUACUCGAGAUAUACGGAGGAUCUCAUUACAACAAUGCAGGUGCCUUAGCUCCAUUUGGUCAAUGAUUAACUGACCAUUUGAACUGAUGUAAGAAAAAGAACAGAACAAAAAAGGUACAGUAGUUUUGGUUGUCGUCAGAAAGGCUACAGAGAGCCUAUUUAUGGUGUUUGAAAGGCAGUGGUCCAGAGGCAAUUGGUUUAGUAAAUCCGGGGAAGAUAGGACAGCCGAGCUCGAAGCGCCACAAAUUCCGACCACAAUCUCUCAUUUUGUCUUCGCACCAUGGAACUACGCUUCGACACCAAAUUCAACUGCCUUUUCAGCUCUUCAUUCUUCACUUUCAGCCGGUCGGCUUCAACCGUCAGGCUCUCAAAAUAUCUCAUCUUUCGCAACCUGGGCCGCGUCGCUGAUUCUCGGUUUGACAUCAUUCGAUUCCUUCUCCUCCCGCCGUCGAUCGAAGAGACGGCUUGGCACGAGCCUUGUGAACCUGAGAUCGACCCGCCCGGAUCUUCAAACUGCGACCAAACCUCCUGGCUUUCGGCCGGCGAUAACCCAGAUUCAUAAACGGGCCUAUGAAACCGGACGGCUUCUUCUUCAGAAUAGAACUUUGGGAAAGAGAAUGAGAGAGAAAAUGGGAAGGGAAGGAAGAAAGAGGAGAGGGGUAUAUAAAGAGG